GUGGGGUAAUGGCCUACCAAGACGACGACGCGUAGCGGAUCUGAGAGGAUGAUCCGUCACAUUGGGACUGAGAUACGGCCCAGACUCCUACGGGAGGCAGCAGUGGGGAAUAUUGCGCAAUGGGCGAGAGCCUGACGCAGCGACGCCGCGUGUGGGAGGAAGCUCUUCGGGGUGUAAACCACUGUCAGGGGGGAAGAACAGCGAAAGUUCGAAUAGGACUGGCGUUUGACGGUACCCUCAAAGGAAGCGCCGGCUAACUCCGUGCCAGCAGCCGCGGUAAUACGGAGGGCGCAAGCGUUGUUCGGAAUUACUGGGCGUAAAGCGCGGGCAGGUUGUCCGCUAAGUCGUCUGUGAAACUCCGGGGCUCAACCCCGCGACAUGCAGACGAUACUGGCGGGCUGGAGAUCGGUAGAGGCUAGCGGAAUUCCUGGUGUAGCGGUGGAAUGCGUAGAUAUCAGGAAGAACACCCGUGGCGAAGGCGGCUAGCUGGGCCGAGUCUGACACUCAUCCGCGAAAGCGUGGGGAGCAAACAGGAUUAGAUACCCUGGUAGUCCACGCCGUAAACGAUGGGCACUAGAUGCCGGGCCUCUAGACGGGUUCGGUGUCGCAGUUAACGCAUUAAGUG
RNAcentral lists this ribosomal RNA (625 nucleotides) under uncultured bacterium. Its description in RNAcentral is "bacterial SSU rRNA". It matches the Rfam family "Bacterial small subunit ribosomal RNA", at positions 252 to 866 of the family's 1533-position model. The record is from RNAcentral.